AUUGAACGCUGGCGGCAUGCUUUACACAUGCAAGUCGAACGGCAGCGCGGGCUUCGGCCUGGCGGCGAGUGGCGAACGGGUGAGUAAUGCAUCGGAACGUGCCCAGUAGUGGGGGAUAGCCCGGCGAAAGCCGGAUUAAUACCGCAUACGACCUGAGGGUGAAAGCGGGGGACCGAAAGGCCUCGCGCUAUUGGAGCGGCCGAUGUCGGAUUAGCUAGUUGGUGGGGUAAAGGCUUACCAAGGCGACGAUCCGUAGCUGGUCUGAGAGGACGACCAGCCACACUGGGACUGAGACACGGCCCAGACUCCUACGGGAGGCAGCAGUGGGGAAUUUUGGACAAUGGGGGCAACCCUGAUCCAGCCAUGCCGCGUGCGGGAAGAAGGCCUUCGGUUUGUAAACCGCUUUUGUUCGGGAAGAAAUCCUCUGGGCUAAUACCCCGGGGGGAUGACGGUACCGGAAGAAUAAGCACCGGCUAACUACGUG
RNAcentral lists this ribosomal RNA (484 nucleotides) under uncultured bacterium. Its description in RNAcentral is "partial 16S ribosomal RNA". It matches the Rfam family "Bacterial small subunit ribosomal RNA", at positions 28 to 507 of the family's 1533-position model. The record is from RNAcentral.